This is a non-coding RNA of Spodoptera litura, 1732 nucleotides long. NCBI's taxonomy places the organism in Eukaryota, Metazoa, Arthropoda, Insecta, Lepidoptera, Noctuidae. The record is from RefSeq and is a predicted model, not a curated record.
AAAAAAAUACGUGUCUUAUAUUUUUUUUUUAUCUAACCGACGGACUAAUUAGAUUUUUAAUUUUGAUACCCUGGACACAACCCAAUUGUAAAAGAUCAUACUAAGAUUUUCAAAAUUGUAAUUUGUUAUUAUAAACUUGUUGUAAAAUAUUAUGCAAUUUCUUUUCUUUUUCAAAGAAACUCCUAGAUUAUGGGUGCAAGUAUCUAUACAUAUACCUGACAUUGGACAUACCUGCCACCCAAAAAUGUACAAUAUGCUAAUAACAUUUAAGUAUAAUAAAGAAUGUGUCUCGUCCAGCACAGCAUCGCUUACUACUAGACAAGUUGGUGGGACAAACGCCAUGCUAUUAAUUUAAAAAAAAAGAACUUAUAAAUUUAUAAUUGUUGUCUAAGUUGUACGUAAAAAUUUUAGUUGAAUUUAUUCCUUUUUUGUUUUAUGUGAUAAUAAACAUGUAUCAAUAAUACUGAGAUUUCGAUCUGAUAAGUAGAGCAUACUCCUAAAUAACUAUACCAUGUAAAUACAGAAAAUAUAAUAUAAUUAAGGACUCUCUAUAUAUUGAUGUUGGAAAGAAAAUGUUAUUGAUAUUACAAAAAAAUGUUUCCUAAAAUAUAAUUGUGAUGUUACAGUAUUUUCUUAUAAAAAACUAUAAAUUGAAGCGCAUAAACCUAUAUUUAUUGGAUUAGUUUUAAGAUGUAAACUUUAGUUUGGCUAUUUAGGGCUGGUUUCACAAUAUCUGAUUAAGUUGAUGAAAUCAAAUCGUCUUUAUUGUAGAUUCUAUAAUGCACCCGGUGAUAAUGUAGUGCUUCUAAUAUGCAGCUUCAGGGCAGGGAGUUGAAGGCGUUGGCGAUGUCCAAAGACACCGCCACGACGAUCUUACCCCUGGACACUGCAGUCCCCGUCAUGAGGUCCCUUAUGCGCAUGAUUGCGUCCACUGUGGAGCGCCCACUGCGGAAGCCGAACUGGCCAUCCGCGAGAUCCGGCCCAAUUCCAGACCAAAAUGCAGAUCUUAAAUAAUUAAAAUAAGUUCAGCUACGUCCCGCCGUUGAGGCAUACAAUAAUAAAAUACAAAAAAGAAUUUAAAACACAAUUAUUCAUAUUAAUCUCGAUACAUUAUUAAAAUAUUCCAAAUUAUGGUUGAUCUGAAAUUAAUUGACAUUUACAUAUUUAUACGCGGUACGCCUAUCCUAAGGAAAUGCAUUAAAAUAUUCGUCACUUAGACUAAUGAAAACUUACUCAGAUAUUAUGAAAUAGCCCUUAGGAUAAAUUCAAUGGCUUUUUAAUGAACUCUAUUCUUUACUUUUGUGAACUUUGAAGUAUGUUUUCCUUCAUAAAUAUUCUUUUUGUUAAAAAAGUUAAAUUUAUUGUCGUAAUAUAUUGAGAAUUUAUUUAUUUGAGACAUGAAUAUUCUAAUUUGAGAAAAUAAAAAAAUAAAAAAUAUGGAGUUGAUACUUUAAUGUUAAAACUAUUUUGCAUUAACAAGACAUUUUAGGUACUUUGUUAUGACGUAGAACUUUUUAACUUCUUACCUAAUUUGACAUGAGAAUGUCAAUUUUGACAUUUUGUACCGGGACGUCAUCAAUGUUUUGUAAUGGAAUUUUGUAUGGUUUUUGUAAAUUAUUUUUUAGGCUUAAUUGUUAGCUUUGUAUUUUCUGAUGUGAUAUUAAUUUUGAUUAUGUGUACUUGUUUUGUAUAUAGGUAUAUGUGUAAUGAAAUAAAUGCAUUAGUAUUGUGA